UCCGGCCAAGGAGCCAAUGUGAGCAUUCA
Molecule: non-coding RNA, 29 nt
Filed under: Homo sapiens (human)
Lineage: Eukaryota; Metazoa; Chordata; Mammalia; Primates; Hominidae
Source: RNAcentral